UGGGAGGGCACCUCCCCCUCAAUGGGCAUCCAGCUCACCCUAAAGGCAACUGCUGCCAUGGAUAACAUCGAUUGGAAGAAGGCAGAAGAGAAGGACAUGAAAGGGUCACCUGUGAGCAAAAGGGAGAGAAAAAUAUUUAAUGAAGAAAUCCAGCAAAGGCAAAAGUGCAAGGCCAAGCCUCAGCCUGCGGAGAGCUGAGGAGUGGCACCGGCAGUCGCAGAAUUACAUAGGGAAAAUAAGAA
Chiroxiphia lanceolata (lance-tailed manakin) is the source of this 242-nucleotide long non-coding RNA. RefSeq lists it as uncharacterized. The record is from RefSeq and is a predicted model, not a curated record. The transcript is spliced from 3 exons. Lineage: Eukaryota; Metazoa; Chordata; Aves; Passeriformes; Pipridae.